GACAUGCCAGCAUUUGUUCUAACCCUAUCUCACGUAGUCCUAUCAAUCCAUCUCAGCUUUUACAAGUCACCUCCCUCCCAUCAGCACAUUCAAAUGGGCAGAUGCUUCCACCCAUAUCCCCUGGAGCCUGAGCUGAAAUGUUUGAAGACAGUCUCCUUCCUCCCGAGAGGAUCGAGAGUGCUCUUUUGAGAGCACUUUCUCCCAGCUCCGGAUGAGGAAGGCAGGAUUGCUCUGCUGUUCUAGACAGAUUUUUCUGCUUCCCGAAACUACGUCUGGCUCAGAAGCACUGCUUAGUCCGUCCGCAGUGACAUUCCUGGGCUGUGCUUCCAUUCUGUUCUGCAGAACACCCCGAAUGCUUACAGCAUGCUGGCUGAAUGUCAAACAAGGAGCUGACCCAAGGAGCCCUCUCGAUUCAACAGCUGGCAACUUUUCUAGAAGAACUAACCCUCUGGCCCUGGACUGUUCUGAUGUAGCCUAAAGGGGCCUCGUAUUUGCUAAAUAGCCGAAAAGAAAUGACCUUGAGCUUUCCGAUCCCCCUGCUCUAUCUCCCAGGCCCUGCACCUCCACGCUUAGUUAAGUGUGCAGGCAAGAAAGGCUCUACCAACACAGCCACAUUCCCAGUCCAAAACUCUGUUUCUGGCUUUUCGCUGUAAAAUUUUACAGCUGGAAUACCUUUGUCUAUGAAUAGCCCAGGACCAGCCGGGCGUGGUGGCACGUGCCUUUAAUCCCAGCACUUGAGAGGCAGAGGCAGGUAGGUUUCUGAGUUUGAAGCUAGCUUGGUCUACAGAGUGAGUUCCAGGACAGCCAGGGCUACACAGAGAAACCCUGUCAAUAGCCAGGACCUUGAUUUUUUUCCCAACCCAUGAAUUGAGGCCUUGAAGGCUACCUGGGCUCAAGCAGCAAAGGCCCAGUGAGCAGCUGGUUCACAGCCAAGACAUCUCAGGGUAGGAGAAAGAGAGGCUGAGAGGCUGGGCUGAAUCUGAGCUGCCACACCCUGACUUGUGGAAAGAGUUCGUUAUCAGUAGGCUCCCUUUUCUGUUGCUUCCUUCUCCAAAAUUGAACUUUUUCAAAUUUAGAUUUUUUUUUACUAAACCAAAGAACUACUGCCAAUAUGAUGUCUUGCUGUACAUCCGUUUGCAGCCCUUUAAUGAGCUUGAAAAGGGCUGGUGAGAUUCCCCUAUUGCUUUCCAUUGUUAUACUGGAACCCCGACUUCCCCAACGGCCUCUGAAAUGCACAGCCGUAAGACUGGUUUGUGGUGUUCAGUCAAACACACACACCAUAGCGUUAGCUCAAAAAUAAAAAUAGUUAACGGGAGUGCCGAGUUCCUCUUUUUUCUUCUUUCUUCUAGAGCAAGCUUUUGUUUAAGAGGCAAAUCACUCCUGAGGAAAUAAAAACUCAAAACAGGAAGCAGAAGCUAUCUGGCAGAGCACUGUGCUCAGCAAAAGUCUCAGAAGCAGACUUGGGUUCAUACCUCCACCAGCCUCUACCUUCCAAGUGCUGGGAUUGAAGGUGUGCUCCCGGGCUACCAGAGUUCAAAGUCUGAGUAAGUGGCUGAGAGAGACAAGCAAAGCGACAGCUUUGAUCAAGGGGACUCAGUCUAGCAGAAUAACCCUAGCUUGGAGCUGCUCUCUCUCAAGAAGAAAAAGAACUGGAGGAAACACACCAUUGCCUAACUCUGAACGUUUAGGCUUGUAUAUAGUUAGGCCUGUCUACAUUCCAGCAGUGAAUGGUAGAUCAUAUGAUCAAACUGUCAUCAGUGGAGCUGGAAAGGAUAUCUCCAUCUUGGGAUGUAGGACAGUCACCUAGCAACCACUGAUGAUAAAUAGCCCUUAACAGGAAGAACAGCUUAGUUAGAAUUAGUUGAGAACUGCAAUGCCAGUUACCACACAAUAAGAGCAAGACACUCCUUACGGCAUUGUGAGAAUGGAGCCGCUCAAGGAUCCUGAAACUGUUCUCCACUUAAGAAGGGCUCUAAGAUCACAGCAACAGUGAUUUUCGGCUUCUGCUGGGAGUUAGUCUCACUACUGAGUUGGAUUAAACCUGACUUAAUAGGAAGAAAAUGGCUUGUAGUUAUUCCCCAUAUUCAAUGCAGAGACAAUAAAAAUUUGAGUCUAGGGGCACAGACUUUGGAGUGAGAUGGACACCUCCCUUUUAAGGACAGAUAAUAUUGGAACCAGAUUAUUUAACAUCUCUGAGUCUUAGUUUCCUCAAUGCCCAAACGCACUUACUUGAGAAUUUACCAUAGGCUUUUCAGUUGGCGAAAUUAGCCUGGUCCUGUUUACCCAGUAGAUGUAGCCUUCAGUG
Long non-coding RNA from Mus musculus (house mouse), 2305 nucleotides. RefSeq annotates it as predicted gene, 30198. Lineage: Eukaryota; Metazoa; Chordata; Mammalia; Rodentia; Muridae. The record is from RefSeq and is a predicted model, not a curated record. The transcript has 3 exons.